UCCUCCCUGGCGCAAUUGGCUAGCGCGUCUGACUGUUAAGACCUUGUCUUGCGCAAUCAGGAGGUUGGUGGUUCGAGCCCACCGGGGGGAG
Molecule: non-coding RNA, 91 nt
Organism: Polyplosphaeria fusca
Lineage: Eukaryota; Fungi; Ascomycota; Dothideomycetes; Pleosporales; Tetraplosphaeriaceae
Source: the annotation of a GenBank genome assembly